AUGGGUGCCACACACAAAUGCGAACCUGGGCAGGCCAGUCCCUUUGUUUGCUUUCUUAUCUCUACCUUAAGGACAGCCAAGAGACUAAACUGGGUUGGGAAAGCCUCCAGUUCUCCUUACGGGAAGCUUCCUCAGGCCUGGCUGAGGAUCAGGAGUCACUCUGUACAGUGCUUUUCCUUUGGUCUUUUCUGGGCAGAGGUGAGAAGGGCCCCACCCAAGCUCCGGGAAUCAGCUCCCUCCUGGGGGUGUGGGGUGUGUGUGUGUGUGUGUGUGUGUGUGUGUGUGUGUGUGUGUGUGUGUGUGUGUUCGUGUUCUUUGGGACAGGGAGGUGUGUGUGUGUGUGUGUGUGUGUGUGUGUGUGUGUGUGUGUUCGUGUUCUUUGGGACAGGGAGGUGGUUCCUUUCAUCCAGCCACCACCAGGAAACUCAGAUUUUGUAUCUGGGAGGGAUCACAGGAUCCAUCAUUUCACAGAGAAAAUAUGGAGACACAAGUGGAAGGAGAUGGUCUGAGGUCAUACCUGCCUGCCACCUAGUUUUUUCACCCCAGUUCCAGGGGACCUGCCCUCACUUUGGAUGGUUGGAGUUCACACCCACGUAUCUGUUUGGAUUGGGGGGCAAGGGGGAAAGACUGAUACAGGUAAGCCUAGUGAGUACAGGGUCUGUGCAGACAAGGGGCAAGAAAGCAUUUCCAAUUCAGGCCCAACUGAGGAGAAAACUGAAGACCCCUGGCUCACACUGGACAAGGUCUCACUCUGGCCACUACUCCCACUUAAGACACCUCAAAUCUGUGCAGCCAGAAAUCAAUGGUCGACAGCCCCCCUUCCCCCCAAUCUUGCCCACAGAAUCCCUGAGCUGGAGCAUUUGUGAGCGCAGUCCAUCAUUCCUCCUCUACCCUGCAGGUGACUCAACUCUGGCCCUAAGUCCAGGGUGGGAGGGAGUGUUCUUUGCAGAGGUUAAGGCUCCAUAUGUCCUCGGGGCUGACUCAGGUCAUUCAUAUGCUUCACCUACUACUAUCUCCCUCAUAUCUCCCACAUUUCUUAAUACUCCCUCUGAAGCCCCAACACAUCUGGCUUCUCCUUCAGGUCAGUCAGUGCUGGGGUCAGGGUCAGCAAGGGGAAGUGGGCUGCAGGGGGAAACACAAGUCCUGUUGCCGUAA
Molecule: long non-coding RNA, 1155 nt
Filed under: Phascolarctos cinereus (koala)
Lineage: Eukaryota; Metazoa; Chordata; Mammalia; Diprotodontia; Phascolarctidae
Description: lncRNA (ENSPCIG00000034547.1)
Source: RNAcentral